This 433-nucleotide ribosomal RNA is filed under the name uncultured bacterium. RNAcentral describes it as "partial 16S ribosomal RNA". It matches the Rfam family "Bacterial small subunit ribosomal RNA", at positions 29 to 507 of the family's 1533-position model. The record is from RNAcentral.
AACGAACGCUGGCGGCAUGCCUAACACAUGCAAGUCGAACGAAGCCUUCGGGAUCAGUCGCUCACGGGUGCGGAACGCGUGGGAAUCUGCCCCUUGCUUCGGAAUAACAGUUAGAAAUGACCGCUAAUACCGGAUUAACUCCUCGGACCAAAGAUUUAUAGGCAAAGGAUGAGCCCGCGUAGGAUUAGGUAGUUGGUGGGGUAAAGGCCUACCAAGCCGACGAUCCUUAGCUGGUCUGAGAGGAUGAUCAGCCACACUGGGACUGAGACACGGCCCAGACUCCUACGGGAGGCAGCAGUGGGGAAUAUUGGACAAUGGACGCAAGUCUGAUCCAGCAAUGCCGCGUGAGUGAUGAAGGCCUUAGGGUUGUAAAGCUCUUUUACCAGGGAUGAUAAUGACGGUACCUGGAGAAUAAGCUCCGGCUAACUCCGUG